GACGAACGCUGGCGGCGUGCUUAACACAUGCAAGUCGAACGGAAAGGCCCUGCUUUUGUGGGGUGCUCGAGUGGCGAACGGGUGAGUAACACGUGAGUAACCUGCCCUUGACUUUGGGAUAACUUCAGGAAACUGGGGCUAAUACCGGAUAGGAGCUCCUGCUGCAUGGUGGGGGUUGGAAAGUUUCGGCGGUUGGGGAUGGACUCGCGGCUUAUCAGCUUGUUGGUGGGGUAGUGGCUUACCAAGGCUUUGACGGGUAGCCGGCCUGAGAGGGUGACCGGCCACAAUGGGACUGAGAUACGGACCAGACUCCUACGGGAGGCAGCAGUGGGGAAUAUGGCACAAUGGGCGGAAGCCUGAUGCAGCAACGCCGCGUGCGGGAUGACGGCCUUCGGGUUGUAAACCGCUUUCGCCUGUGACGAAGCGUGAGUGACGGUAAUGGGUAAAGAAGCACCGGCUAACUACGUG
RNAcentral lists this ribosomal RNA (468 nucleotides) under uncultured bacterium. Its description in RNAcentral is "partial 16S ribosomal RNA". It matches the Rfam family "Bacterial small subunit ribosomal RNA", at positions 28 to 507 of the family's 1533-position model. The record is from RNAcentral.